CCUANGGGUGGCUGCAGGGAGGAAUAUUGCACAAUGGGCGAAAGCCUGAUGCAGCAACGCCGCGUGAAGGAAGAAGGCCUUCGGGUCGUAAACUUCUUUUGAGGGAGACGAGAAAGGACGGUAUCCCUCGAAUAAGCCACGGCUAACUACGUGCCAGCAGCCGCGGUAAAACGUAGGUGGCGAGCGUUAUCCGGAUUCAUUGGGCGUAAAGAGCUUGUAGGUGGCUGUGUAAGUUGGACGUGAAAACUCCGGGCUUAACUUGGAGAGGCCGUUCAAUACUGCGCGGCUAGAGGAUGUUAGAGGGGAGUGGAAUUCCUGGUGUAGCAGUGAAAUGCGUAGAUAUCAGGAGGAACACCCGUGGCGAAGGCGGCUCCCUGGGACAUCCCUGACACUGAGAAGCGAAAGCUAGGGGAGCAAACGGGAUUAGAUACCCGUNUANUC
This 441-nucleotide ribosomal RNA is filed under the name uncultured bacterium. RNAcentral describes it as "bacterial SSU rRNA". It matches the Rfam family "Bacterial small subunit ribosomal RNA", at positions 338 to 795 of the family's 1533-position model. The record is from RNAcentral.